Long non-coding RNA from Dioscorea cayenensis subsp. rotundata (Guinea yam), 345 nucleotides. RefSeq lists it as uncharacterized. The transcript has 3 exons. NCBI's taxonomy places the organism in Eukaryota, Viridiplantae, Streptophyta, Magnoliopsida, Dioscoreales, Dioscoreaceae. The record is from RefSeq and is a predicted model, not a curated record.
GGAUUUCUCGGCAUGCUUGCUCGAACCGGUCAACAAAUUGGCAUCCAUUAUGAGAGUUGGCAUAAAGUGCCAAAAACAUUGAAGGAUGAAUUGUUCAAAUUUAUUGAGAGUAUGUGCUCAAGUCUCUGGGGAAGAAAUGGAGAGAUUACAAGCAUGAUUUGAAAAAGCGUCAUUUCAAACGAGAAGAUGGUUUGCAAGUGAACAAAGAUAAACAUCCAAAUGCAACCAUUAGAUGGCAAUGGGAACAAUUAGUCGAUUAUUGGAUUCAGAAAGACUUGGGGUUGCUAGCAGAAAACAACAAAAAUAUACUCAUACCUCUGGAUCAAAGAGCUUUGCUAGAAAGGA